RNAcentral lists this ribosomal RNA (490 nucleotides) under uncultured bacterium. RNAcentral's name for it is "partial 16S ribosomal RNA". It matches the Rfam family "Bacterial small subunit ribosomal RNA", at positions 28 to 507 of the family's 1533-position model. The record is from RNAcentral.
GAUGAACGCUAGCGGCAGGCCUAAUACAUGCAAGUCGAACGGGAUCCAGAUCAAAGCUUGCUUUGGUCUGGUGAGAGUGGCGCACGGGUGCGUAACGCGUGAGCAACCUACCCUUGUCAGGGGGAUAGCCCGGCGAAAGUCGGAUUAAUACCGCAUGACAUCAUUGAGAGGCAUCUUUCGAUGAUCAAAGAUUUAUCGGACAAGGAUGGGCUCGCGUGACAUUAGCUAGUUGGUAAGGUAACGGCUUACCAAGGCUGCGAUGUCUAGGGGCUCUGAGAGGAGAAUCCCCCAGACUGGUACUGAGACACGGACCAGACGCCUACGGGAGGCAGCAGUAAGGAAUAUUGGUCAAUGGACGGAAGUCUGAACCAGCCAUGCCGCGUGCAGGAAGACGGCCCUAUGGGUUGUAAACUGCUUUUAUACGGGAACAAACGUCGGUACGUGUACCGGUCUGAGUGUACCGUAAGAAUAAGGAUCGGCUAACUCCGUG